This 870-nucleotide ribosomal RNA is filed under the name uncultured soil bacterium. Its description in RNAcentral is "bacterial SSU rRNA". It matches the Rfam family "Bacterial small subunit ribosomal RNA", at positions 26 to 884 of the family's 1533-position model. The record is from RNAcentral.
AGGACGAACGCUGGCGGCGUGCUUAACACAUGCAAGUCGAGCGGAAAGGCCCCUUCGGGGGUACUCGAGCGGCGAACGGGUGAGUAACACGUGGGUAACCUGCCCCAAAGCCCGGGAUAACGUUUCGAAAGGAACGCUAAUACCGGAUGUUGUGCAACCUGCCAAGCGGGUUGUACCAAAGGUAGCUUCGGCCUCCGCUUUGGGAUGGGCCCGCGCAGCAUUAGCUUGUUGGUGGGGUAACGGCCUACCAAGGCUACGAUGCUUAGCUGGUCUGAGAGGACGAUCAGCCACACUGGGACUGAGAUACGGCCCAGACUCCUACGGGAGGCAGCAGUGGGGAAUCUUGCGCAAUGGGCGAAAGCCUGACGCAGCAACGCCGCGUGAGCGAAGAAGGCCUUCGGGUUGUAAAGCUCUGUCAGGAGGGACGAAGCCACUCGGGUUAAUAGCCCAGAGGGUGACGGUACCUCCAGAGGAAGCCCCGGCUAACUACGUGCCAGCAGCCGCGGUAAUACGUAGGGCGCAAGCGUUGUCCGGAAUUAUUGGGCGUAAAGAGCUCGUAGGCGGUUUGUUACGUCCGCUGUGAAAACCCAGGGCUUAACCCUGGGCUUGCAGUGGAUACGGGCAGACUAGAGGCAGGUAGGGGAGAAUGGAAUUCCCGGUGUAGCGGUGAAAUGCGCAGAUAUCGGGAGGAACACCGGUGGCGAAGGCGGUUCUCUGGGCCUGACCUGACGCUGAGGAGCGAAAGCGUGGGGAGCGAACAGGAUUAGAUACCCUGGUAGUCCACGCUGUAAACGUUGGGCGCUAGGUGUGGGGUCCUUCCACGGACUCCGUGCCGCAGCUAACGCAUUAAGCGCCCGCCUGGGGAGUACG